UGUAAACAUCCUACACUCAGCU
This 22-nucleotide non-coding RNA is filed under the name Callorhinchus milii (elephant shark). Lineage: Eukaryota; Metazoa; Chordata; Chondrichthyes; Chimaeriformes; Callorhinchidae. RNAcentral also lists the same sequence under 60 other names. The record is from RNAcentral.